GACGAACGCUGGCGGCGUGCCUAAUACAUGCAAGUCGAACGAACCGCGACCGAGUGCUUGCACUUGGUCAAGGUGAGUGGCGAACGGGUGAGUAACACGUGGGUAACCUACCUCAUAGUGGGGGAUAACAGUCGGAAACGACUGCUAAUACCGCAUAGGACAUGGAAUCACAUGAUUCUGUGAGGAAAGGUGGCGCAAGCUAUCGCUAAGAGAUGGACCCGCGGUGCAUUAGCUAGUUGGUAGGGUAACGGCCUACCAAGGCGAUGAUGCAUAGCCGACCUGAGAGGGUGAUCGGCCACAUUGGGACUGAGACACGGCCCAAACUCCUACGGGAGGCAGCAGUAGGGAAUCUUCCGCAAUGGACGCAAGUCUGACGGAGCAACGCCGCGUGAGUGAAGAAGGUCUUCGGAUCGUAAAGCUCUGUUGUUAGAGAAGAACAGCGCAUAGAGUAACUGUUAUGCGUGUGACG
Molecule: ribosomal RNA, 469 nt
Filed under: Abiotrophia defectiva
Lineage: Bacteria; Bacillati; Bacillota; Bacilli; Lactobacillales; Aerococcaceae
Description: bacterial SSU rRNA
Rfam family: Bacterial small subunit ribosomal RNA
Source: RNAcentral